Molecule: ribosomal RNA, 570 nt
Filed under: Phoma sp. OTU3 TS-2013
Lineage: Eukaryota; Fungi; Ascomycota; Dothideomycetes; Pleosporales; Didymellaceae
Description: eukaryotic LSU rRNA
Rfam family: Eukaryotic large subunit ribosomal RNA
Source: RNAcentral
AAACCAACAGGGAUUGCCCUAGUAACGGCGAGUGAAGCGGCAACAGCUCAAAUUUGAAAUCUGGCUCUUUUAGAGUCCGAGUUGUAAUUUGCAGAGGGCGCUUUGGCGUUGGCAGCGGUCCAAGUUCUUUGGAACAGGACGUCACAGAGGGUGAGAAUCCCGUACGUGGUCGCUAGCCUUCGCCGUGUAAAGCCCCUUCGACGAGUCGAGUUGUUUGGGAAUGCAGCUCUAAAUGGGAGGUAAAUUUCUUCUAAAGCUAAAUACUGGCCAGAGACCGAUAGCGCACAAGUAGAGUGAUCGAAAGAUGAAAAGCACUUUGGAAAGAGAGUCAAAUAGCACGUGAAAUUGUUGAAAGGGAAGCGCUUGCAGCCAGACUUGCCUGUAGUUGCUUAUCCGGACUUUUGUCCGGUGCACUCUUCUGCGGGCAGGCCAGCAUCAGUUUAGGCGGUUGGAUAAAGGUCUCUGUCAUGUACCUCUCUUCGGGGAGGCCUUAUAGGGAGACGACAUGCAAACAGCCUGGACUGAGGUCCGCGCAUCUGCUAGGAUGCUGGCGUAAUGGCUGUAAGCGGC